UCGCGAAGAUCCCAGCAGAGAGGUGCGCUGAUGCCUCCCUAACAAUCAUAAUCUUCGCAGAGAAACGCUCAUGAUCCGUGGUUUCGUGGAUGUGUGAUUUGGAUUUUUGUUCCAUUACAUCUGUUUCCACGGCGACAUUUU
This 141-nucleotide small nucleolar RNA is filed under the name Zea mays. RNAcentral describes it as "Zm_58". Lineage: Eukaryota; Viridiplantae; Streptophyta; Magnoliopsida; Poales; Poaceae. The record is from RNAcentral.